Molecule: ribosomal RNA, 433 nt
Filed under: uncultured bacterium
Lineage: Bacteria
Description: partial 16S ribosomal RNA
Rfam family: Bacterial small subunit ribosomal RNA
Source: RNAcentral
CCCUCCCUCUUUCUUCCUGCCUAACACAUGCAAGUCGAACGAGACCUUCGGGUCUAGUGGCGCACGGGUGCGUAACGCGUGGGAACCUGCCCUUAGGUGCGGAAUAAAUCCCCGAAAGGGGUGCUAAUACCGGAUAAAGUCUUCGGAACAAAGAUUUAUCGCCUUUGGAUGGGCCCGCGUUGGAUUAGCUAGUUGGUAGGGUAAAAGCCUACCAAGGCGACGAUCCAUAGCUGGUCUGAGAGGAUGAUCAGCCACACUGGGACUGAGACACGGCCCAGACUCCUGCGGGAGGCAGCAGUGGGGAAUAUUGGACAAUGGGCGAAAGCCUGAUCCAGCAAUGCCGCGUGAGUGAUGAAGGCCUUAGGGUUGUAAAGCUCUUUUACCCGGGAUGAUAAUGACAGUACCGGGAGAAUAAGCUCCGGCUAACUCCGUG